Molecule: long non-coding RNA, 651 nt
Filed under: Salmo salar (Atlantic salmon)
Lineage: Eukaryota; Metazoa; Chordata; Actinopteri; Salmoniformes; Salmonidae
Description: lncRNA (ENSSSAG00000118235.1)
Source: RNAcentral
CCAGACACUCGGGGCUAGCGAGAACAAGUGAAUGAAUAGAACAACUUGUCAGGUGGUGCAUUGGAGACUGAUGUGUUCCUGUCCUGUCUUUUCAUAAUACUAUUGCAGAUCGACAUAAAAGCCUAAAAGACAGCCGUGGUGUCGCUCUUCAUUUCUUGGUUCUCCUGUGGUGCAUAAGAAACCCGCUACAGAUUGGUGCCGUGACCCGGAUCAACAGAUCAGCUGCAGCAGAUCGCCGGGGGACCCCUAAACAGAACUGGAUCGACAUCACACGUUUAAAACAUUUGAGGGCAAGAACAACUUGUCAGGUGGUGCAUUGGAGACUGAUGUGUUCCUGUCCUGUCUUUUCAUAAUACUAUUGCAGAUCGACAUAAAAGCCUAAAAGACAGCCGUGGUGUCGCUCUUCAUUUCUUGGUUCUCCUGUGGUGCAUAAGAAACCCGCUACAGAUUGGUGCCGUGACCCGGAUCAACAGAUCAGCUGCAGCAGAUCGCCGGGGGACCCCUAAACAGAACUGGAUCGACAUCACACGUUUAAAACAUUUGAGGGCAAGAACAACUUGUCAGGUGGUGCAUUGGAGACUGAUGUGUUCCUGUCCUGUCUUUUCAUAAUACUAUUGCAGAUCGACAUAAAAGCCUAAAAGACAGCCGUGG